Molecule: long non-coding RNA, 753 nt
Organism: Malania oleifera
Lineage: Eukaryota; Viridiplantae; Streptophyta; Magnoliopsida; Santalales; Ximeniaceae
Exons: 2
Source: RefSeq, a predicted model, not a curated record
GUUGUUCCCUUAUUUGUUACUUACUUAGCAGAACCUUCCUCUCUCUACUUUUGAUUCACUCUCUGUUUACGGCAGAACCUCUAUGCUCUUAAUUGCUUUCUCCAUUUUCGUAGAGUACUUUUGUGCCCUCUCUUUUAAAACUAGUAGAACCUCCCCUCCUUUUCUGAAUUUCUCCUCACUUCUCUCAAUUUUUACAAGGCUUCUCCACUCUCCUUUUUUGGGAUCCCCUGCUAUAGUGCUGGUAUUCCCUAUUUAUAGGGAGUCUGGGGGGGGGGGGUGCUUUUGGCGCCAAUUCACUAAUCCUCUAACCAAUUUCCCCAUAACGGAAGGAAUAUUACUUUCUAGGUGGCUCUUGCCAGGUGUCCUACUGAGACUUCAGGAAUGGAGGGCAUUUUGAGUGCACUUCCACAUGCCCUCCGAGGAUAGGAGGGUUUGGUAACUUUAUUUUUUUGUUUUUGCAUUUUCUUUCUCUAAUACCACUGAUUAUUAUUCUUUCUUUUCCAUGCAGGUGGAUUGGAUGAUCCAGUUGGCGGUUGGAGAGUGGGGCAUUUUCAUUUUUUGUACUUUUAUUCAUUUUUUUUUUUGUAAUUUUUUUGUACCCCUGGUUUUCCUGCAACUAUUAUGUGCAACCCCCUUUAUUUUGUACUUCUCCCUUUUCCUAUGUAACUUUUUAUUGUUUGCCCAUGUAUGUACCUCAAUGAGGGCACCUGCCCAUCCUAAUGUAUGAUUUCACAUUUUAAUUUUGACCUGAUA